Butyrivibrio fibrisolvens DSM 3071 is the source of this 134-nucleotide non-coding RNA. The record is from Rfam. Lineage: Bacteria; Bacillati; Bacillota; Clostridia; Lachnospirales; Lachnospiraceae.
AAGGUCGUCAGACCUAAGCCGAAGACAGCAGGUGGUGAAAACCGUAAAUUUGCGUAAGCGAAUGCCCGCCGAGGAAAAGUAUAUGUUUAUGACUUUACCCUCCCAUGUCUUUGGGAGGUUUUUUUAUUCGGCCA